Molecule: transfer RNA, 71 nt
Filed under: Loxodonta africana (African savanna elephant)
Lineage: Eukaryota; Metazoa; Chordata; Mammalia; Proboscidea; Elephantidae
Rfam family: tRNA
About the family: Transfer RNA (tRNA) molecules are approximately 80 nucleotides in length.
Source: Rfam by way of RNAcentral
GCAUUGGUGGUUCAGCGGUAGAAUUCUCACCUUCUAUGCAGGAGACCUGCGUUCAAGUCCUGGCCACUGCA